UCUUGACUCUAAAACAGGUAUGUACAAGCUAUUUAAGAGGGCCAAGAAGGCGGAAUAGCCUCGCUUAUACAGUUUCUGACUGCUAACAGUGCCAUCAUCAAUGAGCUUCACUCUAAAGUCUGUUCAUGGGAGGGUUGGGCUUCCUUCAAUGCUAGGGAUGAAAUUGGAGAAUAAACAAGGGGUUGACAUGCUUGUGAAGUUCUAUUAGGUAUGCUUCUCUCUCUCCCGAAAUCUUUCGGUUCCUGAAGCACAAACCCUGUCAGUUUGUCCAUACGUAGAUUUUUUUCCUUCUUGUUGGUGCACUAUUCUCGGGUUUUUAGACCAUUUGAGAGGGCCAAGAAGGCGGAAUAGCCUCGCUUAUACAGUUUCUGACUGCUAACAGUGCCAUCAUCAAUGAGCUUCACUCUAAAGUCUGUUCAUGGGAGGGUUGGGCUUCCUUCAAUGCUAGGGCUGAAAUUGGAGAAUAAUUAAACAAGGGGUUGACAUGCUUGUGAAGUUCUAUUAGGUAUGCUUCUCUGUCUCCCCAAAUCUUUCGGUUCCUGAAGCACAAACCCUGUCAGUUUGUCCAUAUGUAGAUUUUUUCCCUUCUUGUUGGUGCACUAUUCUCGGGUUUUUUGUGUGUUUCUUUCUUGCGGCCAGCUUGACCAUUUACUCUGGAAGGAGUUAUUCAACUAAAAAAGAGCGAACAAGUUGAGAUUCUUUUGUCUUGUCUAUAUCGUUCCUACAAUGUUGUUUGGGUUGAUUUUCUUGCUUUUUUGUAGUUUGUGGAGAGAGUUAAGUAGUAGGGUAGCCUUUCUAUGGUGGCGAUCGCAUGCUGUGCAGCCGAGUGUAGUUAAUUUGGUGGUUCAUGUUACAAGAAAAAUCAUUGCUCUGUUUGUAGGUUUCAGGUUCCUUUUGUUGUGAGGUGCUCCAUGGCCCUUUGCUUGGAUGCUCUGUGGUGAGGCAACAGAGAUAAUUAGCAGUCUUGUAUACUAACCAAGAGAACAUCCAUUUCAUGAUUUUGGGUAUUGGGUUCUCUUUGCUAAACCAGCUGCAGCUAGAUGAGAGAAGUAGUAAGUAAUAUCAGGUGCAUAAUUUCUAUCAGUCUGUGUAUUCUAAUGACUACCGAUAUCCCCUUUCCUGUAGUGUGGCACUGAAUCAAUAGUCAUUUUUGCACAAUCAUGUGUCAUGUUCCUUUAUGAAUCAUAUAAUAUCAAGAGACAACUUAUGGAACUGUUCAGAUUUUUAUGGCAGCCCUAACUUCGCUAGGUAAUAACUUUAUUUGGUCUUUAUCCAACUGGUUUUUAUCAUAUCAAAUUACUGCAGAGCGUACUGAUUUUUUUGUCACCGAGCAACGGUGCCUUUCAGUUCAACUAGCAGUUUAAACCUCCGAAGGUUUAAGGUGAACAAUGAGAUAUUUUUGGGUUUGUUUGAACUGUUGUGUCUGUCCACUUGAGUGCCUCCAUAUGUGGUUCUCCUGUUGCAUUAGUUAUAUUAUUAUUUUUGAUCAUCUUGCCCAAAACUAAAGUUUCACUACAUGAAAAAUGACUACUUUAUUUUAUACCAUGUUAUCCUCUUUCUCUUCCCCACAGGACAGCGUCUCCCCGUGUUCUCGAUCCGGCGCCGCCACAUAUCAUGAUUCUGGAUUGGGCGCAGGUCAUCGCCAUAAGAGAGCCUGGCUGGUGUGGUCUUCAUGCUUGGUGUGGAGAAGCACGGGGGAUGAGUAGGACGGGCAUGGGGAAGGAGCAGCUAGGCCGGAGCUCCGGCGUUGUUCGCGUCAUGGUCGAAUGGAGCCGGCCAUCACUAUGGGCUGCUGCUCGCCGGUCGUCGUUUAUCCAAUCUCAGUUGCUCAUCUUUGGCUUCACCAUCUUCCUCCCCUGAUCAUGCAUCUAUUUUAGAUCAUAUAAUUAUGCUAUAUCAUAUAUGUUGUUUAGUUCAGACUUGUGCAUGUGCAUGCAUUGGCAUUGAUUUAGACAGAGAUAUUGCAUGAUUUGUACAUAGAAGGAGUACGGAUGAUCUAGGAAUAAAUGUUUGAAUAAAGUUAGUAGUGAGAUUUAGAUAGAGGUUACCUGCACUGUUCUGUUUUAUGUAGAUUCUAAGCUGCAAAAUCAUACAUUGUCCUGUUAGUAAUUUGUUUGAGUUGUGAGUUUACGCAUUUUCCCUUGGAAUGUUUGUAUGUGUGAUCACUGGCUUUUAGGUUCCCAGUGGUAUAUCAUGAGAAGUUUUUUACUCUGCACCGGGUGAUCAACUACAUAUUUAGACGAAUACACUAUUCAGGACCAGGAACAUUAAGAUUUCUAAUGUUGUUUUCCUCUUUCAAGAUUGCAGUUUUCAUAAGCCUUAGAUAGCUAAGGUACACAUAGUUUUCAUUUAAC
This 2354-nucleotide long non-coding RNA is filed under the name Triticum aestivum (bread wheat). RNAcentral describes it as "long non-coding RNA (TAES_LNC028215)". The record is from RNAcentral. Lineage: Eukaryota; Viridiplantae; Streptophyta; Magnoliopsida; Poales; Poaceae.